GCGAGACAGGUGGGGCGGUGACCGGGCGCGACCGAUAAACUGUUCGCGGACGACGCCGGGUACGGUCCCCGUGUCGUCCGUCAAUGAUCAGCCAGCAGCCGCUGCAAACCCAGGGAG
RNAcentral lists this small RNA (117 nucleotides) under Streptomyces sp. F-3. RNAcentral's name for it is "Streptomyces-metK RNA". It matches the Rfam family "Streptomyces-metK RNA". Lineage: Bacteria; Bacillati; Actinomycetota; Actinomycetes; Kitasatosporales; Streptomycetaceae. The record is from Rfam by way of RNAcentral.